RNAcentral lists this small RNA (609 nucleotides) under Simplicillium lanosoniveum. RNAcentral's name for it is "eukaryotic LSU rRNA". The stretch from base 223 to 376 matches the Rfam family "5.8S ribosomal RNA". Lineage: Eukaryota; Fungi; Ascomycota; Sordariomycetes; Hypocreales; Cordycipitaceae. The record is from RNAcentral.
UGUAACAAGGUCUCCGUUGGUGAACCAGCGGAGGGAUCAUUAUCGAGUUUAUCCAACUCCCAACCCUAUGUGAACCUACCUUUAUGUUGCUUCGGCGGUUUCGCGCCGGGUUGCUCCCCAGGGGGCUCCCGGGACCACGCGUCCGCCGGAGACCACAAACUCUUGAUUUUGCGAAAGCAGUAUUAUUCUGAGUGGCCGAAAGGCAAAAAACAAAUGAAUCAAAACUUUCAACAACGGAUCUCUUGGUUCUGGCAUCGAUGAAGAACGCAGCGAAAUGCGAUAAGUAAUGUGAAUUGCAGAAUUCAGUGAAUCAUCGAAUCUUUGAACGCACAUUGCGCCCGCCAGCAUUCUGGCGGGCAUGCCUGUUCGAGCGUCAUUUCAACCCUCGAGCUCGUCUUCAUUGACGAGAUCGGUGUUGGGACCCGGCGAGCGGGGACUUCUGUCCUCUGCCGGCCCCGAAAUUCAGUGGCGGCCCGUUGCGGCGACCUCUGCGUAGUAACUUAACCUCGCACUGGGACAGCAUCGUGGCCACGCCGUAAAACCCCCGACUUUUUUAAGGUUGACCUCGAAUCAGGUAGGACUACCCGCUGAACUUAAGCAUAUCAUUAA